RNAcentral lists this ribosomal RNA (373 nucleotides) under uncultured bacterium. RNAcentral describes it as "bacterial SSU rRNA". It matches the Rfam family "Bacterial small subunit ribosomal RNA", at positions 521 to 896 of the family's 1533-position model. The record is from RNAcentral.
UAAUACGGAGGGUGCAAGCGUUAUCCGGAUUCACUGGGUUUAAAGGGUGCGUAGGUGGGUCUGUAAGUCAGUGGUGAAAUCUCCGAGCUUAACUCGGAAACUGCCAUUGAUACUAUAGGUCUUGAAUUUUCUGGAGGUAAGCGGAAUAUGUCAUGUAGCGGUGAAAUGCUUAGAUAUGACAUAGAACACCCAUUGCGAAGGCAGCUUACUACGGGAUAAUUGACACUGAGGCACGAAAGCGUGGGGAUCAAACAGGAUUAGAUACCCUGGUAGUCCACGCCCUAAACGAUGGAUACUCGACAUCAGCGAUACACUGUUGGUGUCUGAGCGAAAGCAUUAAGUAUCCCACCUGGGAAGUACGACCGCAAGGUUG